AUGGGGGGCUCUCAGUUUUGGAAAGAGUUACACCAUUGUAAGACUUGGGUUGAAAGACUUGUGGAGAAACAGGUUCAUAAGGGAGAUCAUGUUUUUUUCUGGAAAGAUGUGUGGUGUGGAGAUAUUCCACUAAAAAUUAGGUUCCCUGAUCUUUUUGAGAUUAGCUAUCAACAAGGGGCUCUGGUUAGUGAAGUGUUCAAUGGAGGAGAUUGGGAUCUAGAGUUUAGAAGAAAUCUAAAUUCCCAGAGAGAAGCUGAGCGCAACUUAUUCAGGGGAUUUAAAUGGGGCGUCCUGCUAGGAAAUGAGGAGCAAGCAGUGCUGGGAGGGUGGUGUGAGGCGAUUCUAAAGAAGCUUAUAAUCAACUUAGAGUUAGAACUUUGCCUGCAACUCUGUGAAUGUUCCCAAUCGACCAUAGUGUGCGGUGUGUGUUGUGGUGGGUUUCUGUUUUCCUGCUAUGCUGAAUGUUUGUAAGCUGAAAAUC
This 481-nucleotide long non-coding RNA is filed under the name Oryza sativa Indica Group (long-grained rice). RNAcentral's name for it is "lncRNA OsMH63_08G008080". The record is from RNAcentral. Lineage: Eukaryota; Viridiplantae; Streptophyta; Magnoliopsida; Poales; Poaceae.